RNAcentral lists this ribosomal RNA (1476 nucleotides) under Lactiplantibacillus plantarum. Its description in RNAcentral is "bacterial SSU rRNA". It matches the Rfam family "Bacterial small subunit ribosomal RNA". Lineage: Bacteria; Bacillati; Bacillota; Bacilli; Lactobacillales; Lactobacillaceae. The record is from RNAcentral.
UGGAAGGGGGGGCGUGCUAUACAUGCAAGUCGAACGAACUCUGGUAUUGAUUGGUGCUUGCAUCAUGAUUUACAUUUGAGUGAGUGGCGAACUGGUGAGUAACACGUGGGAAACCUGCCCAGAAGCGGGGGAUAACACCUGGAAACAGAUGCUAAUACCGCAUAACAACUUGGACCGCAUGGUCCGAGUUUGAAAGAUGGCUUCGGCUAUCACUUUUGGAUGGUCCCGCGGCGUAUUAGCUAGAUGGUGGGGUAACGGCUCACCAUGGCAAUGAUACGUAGCCGACCUGAGAGGGUAAUCGGCCACAUUGGGACUGAGACACGGCCCAAACUCCUACGGGAGGCAGCAGUAGGGAAUCUUCCACAAUGGACGAAAGUCUGAUGGAGCAACGCCGCGUGAGUGAAGAAGGGUUUCGGCUCGUAAAACUCUGUUGUUAAAGAAGAACAUAUCUGAGAGUAACUGUUCAGGUAUUGACGGUAUUUAACCAGAAAGCCACGGCUAACUACGUGCCAGCAGCCGCGGUAAUACGUAGGUGGCAAGCGUUGUCCGGAUUUAUUGGGCGUAAAGCGAGCGCAGGCGGUUUUUUAAGUCUGAUGUGAAAGCCUUCGGCUCAACCGAAGAAGUGCAUCGGAAACUGGGAAACUUGAGUGCAGAAGAGGACAGUGGAACUCCAUGUGUAGCGGUGAAAUGCGUAGAUAUAUGGAAGAACACCAGUGGCGAAGGCGGCUGUCUGGUCUGUAACUGACGCUGAGGCUCGAAAGUAUGGGUAGCAAACAGGAUUAGAUACCCUGGUAGUCCAUACCGUAAACGAUGAAUGCUAAGUGUUGGAGGGUUUCCGCCCUUCAGUGCUGCAGCUAACGCAUUAAGCAUUCCGCCUGGGGAGUACGGCCGCAAGGCUGAAACUCAAAGGAAUUGACGGGGGCCCGCACAAGCGGUGGAGCAUGUGGUUUAAUUCGAAGCUACGCGAAGAACCUUACCAGGUCUUGACAUACUAUGCAAAUCUAAGAGAUUAGACGUUCCCUUCGGGGACAUGGAUACAGGUGGUGCAUGGUUGUCGUCAGCUCGUGUCGUGAGAUGUUGGGUUAAGUCCCGCAACGAGCGCAACCCUUAUUAUCAGUUGCCAGCAUUAAGUUGGGCACUCUGGUGAGACUGCCGGUGACAAACCGGAGGAAGGUGGGGAUGACGUCAAAUCAUCAUGCCCCUUAUGACCUGGGCUACACACGUGCUACAAUGGAUGGUACAACGAGUUGCGAACUCGCGAGAGUAAGCUAAUCUCUUAAAGCCAUUCUCAGUUCGGAUUGUAGGCUGCAACUCGCCUACAUGAAGUCGGAAUCGCUAGUAAUCGCGGAUCAGCAUGCCGCGGUGAAUACGUUCCCGGGCCUUGUACACACCGCCCGUCACACGCAUGAGAGUUUGUAACACCCAAAGUCGGUGGGGUAACCUUUUAGGAACCAGCCGCCUAAAGGGGGACCCAGU